This 327-nucleotide ribosomal RNA is filed under the name uncultured eukaryote. RNAcentral's name for it is "partial 18S ribosomal RNA". It matches the Rfam family "Eukaryotic small subunit ribosomal RNA", at positions 1470 to 1796 of the family's 1831-position model. The record is from RNAcentral.
CCCUUAGAUGUUCUGGGCCGCACGCGCGCUACACUGACGAAUGCAACGAGCCUAUAACCUUGGCCGAAAGGUCUGGGUAAUCUCCAAAUUUCGUCGUGAUGGGGAUAGAUUAUUGCAAUUAUUAAUCUUCAACGAGGAAUGCCUAGUAAGCGCAAGUCAUCAACUUGCGUUGAUUACGUCCCUGCCCUUUGUACACACCGCCCGUCGCUCCUACCGAUUGAAUGGUCCGGUGAAGCGUUCGGACCGUGGCCUUUGGACGGUUCGCCGUCUGUUGGCUGCGGGAAGUUCGUUAAACCUUAUCAUUUAGAGGAAGGAGAAGUCGUAACA